Molecule: ribosomal RNA, 427 nt
Filed under: uncultured microorganism
Description: bacterial SSU rRNA
Rfam family: Bacterial small subunit ribosomal RNA
Source: RNAcentral
UGGGGAAUAUUGCACAAUGGGCGCAAGCCUGAUGCAGCCAUGCCGCGUGUGUGAAGAAGGCCUUCGGGUUGUAAAGCACUUUCAGCGAGGAGGAAGGGUAUCGUGUUAAUAGCACGGUGCAUUGACGUUACUCGCAGAAGAAGCACCGGCUAACUCCGUGCCAGCAGCCGCGGUAAUACGGAGGGUGCAAGCGUUAAUCGGAAUUACUGGGCGUAAAGCGCACGCAGGCGGUUUGUUAAGUCAGAUGUGAAAUCCCCGAGCUUAACUUGGGAACUGCAUUUGAAACUGGCAAGCUAGAGUCUUGUAGAGGGGGGUAGAAUUCCAGGUGUAGCGGUGAAAUGCGUAGAGAUCUGGAGGAAUACCGGUGGCGAAGGCGGCCCCCUGGACAAAGACUGACGCUCAGGUGCGAAAGCGUGGGGAGCAAACA